AGUCAACGUUGAUCGCCUCACAGUUAUUUUUCUUAGCAAACUGGAAUUACUCGCCCAACAAAAGCUGUGGUGCGACAUUGAAUAAUCUCUAUUACACUUUUCCCUUAACAUUGCUAAACAAUAAACAAGAGACGACUUUAAUUAUUUAAGAUUUUUUAUUACGGUUCAUUGUAGUUUCUGACAAAAGUUGAACAAACAAGAAAUCUCCCAGAAUAGAGCUAUGAAUAUUACAUGAAUACAGUUUGUAUGAACAAAAAGACAGUAAAAAGAAGUCAGAAGAAAGAUUUUAUAUUUUUUACUUUUACACAUAUAUAAUAUUAUGUAUAUCAUAAUACAAAUCUAUGCCCAUAUAUUUGUUCAUCAUUGGGAUACUCAGCUCAUGGUGAGCUGCAGUGUAUUCCUUAAAUCUUCCCUGUACAAUAUUUUCUCUGAUACAGUCAUGGAGUGUUAUGUAAUGCUGUAAUAUCAAGUAAAACCUGAAUAUGAAUUUGACAUGCAUUAAUUUAAACACCAAAAAUACAGUGUAAAAUUUAGAACAAAAAUAUCAUUCAAUAAUCAAGAAGUCAUUUGUCAUGCCAGUGAUGGCAGUCAUACAAUCAGGGCUUUUCUAACAGGAGUCAGCGAUGAUACUAUUGCUGGUUUGACAGUAUCCAUGACGACAGUACGAGGAAGGAUGCAGUGAUGAGACUGAUCUUGUGGCUUACUCCACUUGAAACCUCUGUAAUGAAUGAGAAAAGAAAACAUGAUAUUACUUUUACAAAUAAAAAACAUAAAAUGGAAAAAAUAUUUGUGAGAUAUUGUUUAAUAUGUCUCACGUGAGCCAUCCACGAAAAUGGAGUUCAGGUCAACAUUGAAGACUGUGAUGUUUGAAGCUGCUUGAAUCAAAACAUUUCCAAUCUGAGUGCCAUUAGGAACAGAAGCUGAUGCAAAUCCAAUGUCCAUGUUGUUGAUGAUUGAACCAUUACUGCAAAUGAAACAACAAUAUGUAGUAUUAUUUAUUUGGAAUACAUUGAUGAUCAGUGCUCUUAAUAUCUGGUCACAAUAAAAUUAACAAAUUACCUGAAUGAAGUCACUGUUAAGGAGCGGAACGAAGUAAAUGCUCUUUGGUAGAACGGCUCGAGCUGCAGAAAUAGAAGUAAAUUGUUUAAAUGAAAAGAUAUAUAUGUUUUUGGUGUUUAUUGAUAACUUGUGGAUUGUUUAUCUCUCCUAUUUUCUAUGAAUGAAUGUAAAACUGACUGUAAAUAUUUUUUUCUUUGAAAACUCACCAGGAAUAAAAAAAACUUUUUUUCCAUUUACAAUAAAUAAUGUUUCAUCCAUCCAUUACUUACAUUUGACGUUAUCAAUGAGGCUCUUCUUUGAAACGCUGCAGAUGAUGUAUUUAGCAAGUCAGUGAUAAAUGUCUCUCCAGCAGAUCUGAAAGACAGUCGCCUUGUUGUGACCGCCUCAGUUGUUACAGGUGCAGCUGUUGUAGGUGCUGCAGUGGUAGGUGCAGCAGUUGUAGGUGCAGCUGUUGUGGGUGCUGCAGUUGUAGGUGCAGCUGUUGUAGGUGCUGCGGUUGGGAUAAGCGAUUUGUCAAAUACUGACUAGAUUAAUUAUUAAUGACAAGCUGUAUAUUUCAUUGCGUUCAAAAGCAUUACCAUUUUAUGCAGGCAAUAUACUUACAAACUGCACGGACAGACUCUGGAUCAACACCGAGGUCGGAGAGACUGUUGUUAUUCGCAGCGUCUAUCAAGGUCUGUGCUACGUCAGCAGCCUGUGGGAUUUCAGCAUCCGGAGUGAACACAAUGUCGACCACUGCUUCAGUAUUAGACGUUCGUGUUGCCGCCGUAGCUGGUCUGCAUUGUGAAAGAAUAUAAAUUCAGCAAAUUAUAGACGUGAUUUAUAUGCAGGGUGCAGCUGUUGUGGGUGCCGCUGUUGUAGGUGCAGCAGUUGUAGGUGCAGCUGUUGUAGGCGCAGCUGUUGUGGGUGCUGCAGUUGUAGGUGCAGCUGUUGUCGUCGUUGUUGCACCUGGACUUGUUACUGCUAUUUCAAGAAAUAUUAAAUGAUUACCGACACAAAGCUUACAUUUUACUUGUGUCAUUGUGAUUCAUAUCUGAUGCUUAGCUUACCCAUUAUAACCAGGAAGAUUAAUAUAAUCCGUGCCACAGCCAUCUUUUUUGUUUUGAAUCCCUACAAAUUGAUCAACGUAGGGGUUCAGUCACAUAGGUACAUGAUGAAAGCUUCCAUGUAUUUGAAACUUUUUAAGUUGCAUACUGUAUUCAGUUUGAACAUGACUAUGGUCAUUGUAGCAGUACGUUCAACUUACACAACAUUCAAAGGGAAACAUAUAUAUUUUUCAAAACAGUGUCUCAAAAUAUUCUAAUCCUGAGUGACAGAGAUUCUAUACUUUGAGACAAGGUAUGGAAUACAACACACGUUUAACAGGAAACAAAAUCCGAAUUUUAUAAUAUGUUAUUGUUUUGUAGCUAAAGUAGUCAAUAUAUAUACAUGUGCAAUGCUAAGAAAAAAAUAAAACGCUUGUUCCAUAAACGUGAUGAAGAGAUAAAAAAACUAAUAGAACUGGAUUAAAAAAUGAAUAUCAGAAAAAGACAAUAUCCCACGAAAUGUUAAAAAAAUGUUAGUAAUAAGUGAAAAUCUCUUCUGUAAUCUUCAAUCAAAGUAAAGCAAUGAAAUACAUAAAUAUCUUCAAAAAAUCUGAACGUAUGUAUAGACACAUUCAAACUCUUUCUCUUUAUCUCUCUCUUUGACACACAUGCAGAGACUAUAAAUAUACAGAAAUCUGUUUAUUGACUUAAAAAUAUACUUACAGGAAUCUAUCAGAUGAAGACCAGAGAUGAAAGGUUGUGAAUUCCCCUUUCUUGCUUACUUUGCACCUGGGAUGUUGGAAACCUUACACUUGAUGUGACAAAUCACAUAAAUUACAGUCUUUUAUAGGGACACGAUCGAAAGCCAAAGACGUCACUCCCGAGUUAAUUAUCGUAAGCUAUAAUUUCUUUCGGAUUCUUGGCUAAGUGUUUCCUUCUUUUGAUCUAUUAAAACAAGUCUCAUUCCAUUUACUUAAAAGGAGAAGGAAGCUCCAUCCACGUCACAGUAAGUUAGAAUAAAAAAUAUGUCUAAAGUAUUUUAUAAAAAUAUAUGACAAAAGUACAAAACAAUAAUCCCCAUUGAAGCUUAGCUACUUAUAGACUGAAAAAGGUUUAUUAGAUCAAUAUUUUUUGGUAAGAAGUGGUUAUAUUUAGUACAUAGUGAAUAUCAUCUGUUAAUUAGAUUAGAUUUCGUAAUUUAACUAAUGCAGCAUAUUUUAAUAACAAGUAAACAGCAGCUGCAUAAUAUAGUCAUCACCUCGUUAAAUGUUACAUAUUUAAAGGACCUUCAAUGUACUUCUGAAGCAGUUCCAUGAUAAUCCUGGCUAAUAUGAAGUAUGAAAGUAUUAUAUAUGAUUUCAUUUUUAGUUUUUUUUUACUCCUCAUACUUUUAGGAAGAAAACUAUUUAAAUCAACUUGACCUGUAAAAACAACAUCAAAUGCAUUCAUCGAUUGAUGACAAUUUUAUUGAAGCUUUUGACCAAAUUGAUAUUAGCCCAUUGAUUGUGAUUAACUUUGAGACACAACUACGGAUUAGUUUUUCAUGAAAACAAGAUUCUAUAUCCUUUCUACACUGGCAGUGGAGGUUACAACAGAACAUUUUAGCUAAAACUAAACGUUUUUCUCAUUUGUGUUUAUGUGUUUUCACUCAUUUAAAUGUUUCUUUUCAAUUUUACUCGUUUCUUUCAACGUCAGCUUAUGUUAUGCCGCAAAUAAUGAAUACGCAGUGAUCAUCUGUCACCCUAUUCUAUGAUGCUAUGCUUAGCUUUUACUCUUAGUGAUGUCUUUGUUAACAAAGACUAUCCCUGUGGUUUUCUUUUGUCUUGUACUUCCUGGUGAUCAACCGUCAACAAUCCUUCGAUUAAAUUGUUGGUUCAUUGCAGGUUGGUUUCGUCUUCCAUUGCCAAUACUCUUAGUUAAGUUCUUGUAGGUUUUCAUUAAUUAGACUAAAGACAAUUUUCCUACAACUCAACAGCAGAGAUAUAGCCACAGCAAUGACUCAGCAAAUCUAUGACCUUGUAUGACCUUAGAGGACUUAUCAAAGUUACAAGACAAGACAUACCUGAUGCAUGAGGUGUAAUGUGUUGUAUAAUCUGCUAAUAAGAUAAUGGCCAAAAAUAUAUUCAUGAUAGUUUGGCUUAUUGUGAAACAUGCAAUGUGUUACACUAUAUAUUAGGGGUGUAACGAUUCGAUUCAAAUCGCGAUUCAUGGUUGCCGAUUUGAUUCAUGGACGAUCUGGGUUAAUUUAGAACGAUUCGAUUUGAUUCAGUGACUUGAAAUCAAUUCAGUAACUUUACUGGACAGUGCAGGCAAAGUUUCUGAGAUCCCUGUUGUUUCUUGUAAGGAAAUCAGGUUUAAAUUAAUUAUGGAUAUUAUAAACAAGCAAACGACAAUUAAUGGCAAAUGUAUUAACCUUUUAUUUGAAUCAAGUGCCAUUUUCAAUGUAAACAUUACACAAUAAUUACACAAUGUUUGGAUCAAUUCACAGAACCCCGGAUUUUCAACCACAUUGUAGGGUCGCAUGUCUUUACAGCUAAACUUGGCAAUUGUUACUGUGAUGCUGAGUUUUGUGCUGGCGAGGCCUGAGGUGUCUGCAGAGCUGCAGUUACCUGCUGCUGCUGCAGCGGUGACGCUGCUACAGGCGCCUGACUGUCGGCGUUGUUUAAUCCCACGGCGCCUUAGUAGAUGGCUGGAAAGAUUUGUCGUGUUUCCGUGUUUUUUAUUUGGCUUCUACACAUUCUACAAACAGCGACAGACUUAUUUAGAACACCUCCGUGUUUGCAAAAGCCAAAAUGUUCCCGCACGCUGGAUCGAUAAGUUGGUUUGUAAAUGUCUUGCUCGCAGUCGUCUCCUCCACGCUGUGUUUUGUUGUUGUUCAGAGUUUCGCGCGGCUGCCACUUCGUACUGAAGACGUCACAGUCAGGCAGACUGAAUCCAGUAACGUUCAACGUGUUUAAAGUGCUAAAAAACAAACAAACAAACACGCAUCCAUACCGUUUUUGUACUUAAAUCCAAUGUGCAGUUUCCAAGUAUCGAUACAAUCGAUUAUGUACCAUUUCAAUCGAUUUGUAAUCGAUAUAUGUUGUCCUGAAUACCGAUUUGCGGAGCACAGAUCGAUUCAGUUGGAUCGCAGGAAUAUAAAUCAAUUAAUCGAUUCAGUGAAUGAAUCGUUACACCUCUACUAUAUAUAUAUAUAUAUAUAUAUAUAUAUA
This is a long non-coding RNA of Gasterosteus aculeatus aculeatus (three-spined stickleback), 5296 nucleotides long. The record is from Ensembl. NCBI's taxonomy places the organism in Eukaryota, Metazoa, Chordata, Actinopteri, Perciformes, Gasterosteidae.